GAUUAGGCAUGCAAGUCGGACGGUAGGAUAUCCUUUCGGGGUAUCUGAGAGUGGCGAACGGGUGAGUAACGCGUAGGUGAUCUACCUUCAGGUGGGGGACGACCCGGGGAAACCCGGGCUAAUACCGCAUGUGGCUGAAAAGCCAAAGCCGGCCUCUGUUUACAAGCUGGUGCCUGGAGCUGAGCCUGCGUCUGAUUAGCUUGAUGGUGGGGUAACGGCCUACCAUGGCGAUGAUAAGUAGGCGGCUUUAACGAGUGGCCGCCCACACUGGGAUUGAGAAACGGCCCAGACUCCUACGGGAGGCAGCAGUCGAGAAUAGUCUACAAUGGUCGGAAGACUGAUAGUGCGACGCCGCGUGAACGAGGAAGCCUUUCGGGGUGUAAAGUUCUUUUCUAUGGGAGCAGGGCAUCCCUGGUUAACAGCGAGGGGUGUUUGAUAUUACUAUAGGAAUAAGCCACGGCUAACUCCGUGCCAGCAGCCGCGGUAAUACGGGGGUGGCGAGCGUUGUCCGGAAUUACUAGGCGUAAAGGGCAGGCAGGCGGAUUUGUAAGUUAAUCGUUAAAGGCCCGUGCUCACCAUGGGUAGGGCGGUUGAUACUGCGGAUCUGGAAGCGAGUGGGGGGAGACGGAAUUCCCGGUGUAGCGGUGGAAUGCGCAGAUAUCGGGAGGAACACCGAAGGCGAAGGCAGUCUUCUACGCUUGUCUUGACGCUCAACUGCGAAGGUGCGGGUAUCAAACAGGAUUAGAUACCCUGGUAGUCCGCACAGUAAACGAUAAUCACUGGGUGUCGGUCGGAUAUGCCGGUCGGUGCCGUAGCAAACGCGUUAAGUGAUUCGCCUGGGGAGUACGAUCGCAAGGUUGAAACUUAAAUGAAUUGACGG
RNAcentral lists this ribosomal RNA (880 nucleotides) under uncultured bacterium. RNAcentral describes it as "bacterial SSU rRNA". It matches the Rfam family "Bacterial small subunit ribosomal RNA", at positions 47 to 916 of the family's 1533-position model. The record is from RNAcentral.